GCUCUGAUAGUUUAACUAAAACAUUGGUCUUGUAAACCAAAAAGGAGAAACUCUCUCUCCGAGCU
Molecule: transfer RNA, 65 nt
Filed under: Halocaridinides fowleri
Lineage: Eukaryota; Metazoa; Arthropoda; Malacostraca; Decapoda; Atyidae
Description: tRNA-Thr
Rfam family: tRNA
About the family: Transfer RNA (tRNA) molecules are approximately 80 nucleotides in length. Their secondary structure includes four short double-helical elements and three loops (D, anti-codon, and T loops).
Source: RNAcentral